AAGAAGGACUCCUCGUGCGAGUGCC
This 25-nucleotide non-coding RNA is filed under the name Mesodinium pulex. The record is from RNAcentral. Lineage: Eukaryota; Ciliophora; Litostomatea; Cyclotrichida; Mesodiniidae.